UUAACUUACAUAUCUGCAAACAUAUUAUGUAUUUUUAUGCUUUAGUAGAGUCAAAAACUUCCCUACAGCACCUUUAAGUUAUUUCUGUCAUAA
This is a long non-coding RNA of Sinocyclocheilus grahami, 93 nucleotides long. RefSeq lists it as uncharacterized. NCBI's taxonomy places the organism in Eukaryota, Metazoa, Chordata, Actinopteri, Cypriniformes, Cyprinidae. The transcript is spliced from 3 exons. The record is from RefSeq and is a predicted model, not a curated record.